This 377-nucleotide ribosomal RNA is filed under the name uncultured organism. Its description in RNAcentral is "partial 16S ribosomal RNA". It matches the Rfam family "Bacterial small subunit ribosomal RNA", at positions 527 to 896 of the family's 1533-position model. The record is from RNAcentral.
GUAGGUGGCAAGCGUUGUCCGGAAUUAUUGGGCGUAAAGCGCGCGCAGGCGGUUCUUUAAGUCUGAUGUGAAAGCCCACGGCUCAACCGUGGAGGGUCAUUGGAAACUGGAGAACUUGAGUACAGAAGAGGAAAGCGGAAUUCCACGUGUAGCGGUGAAAUGCGUAGAGAUGUGGAGGAACACCAGUGGCGAAGGCGGCUUUUCUGGUCUGUAACUGACGCUGAGGCGCGAAAGCGUGGGGAGCAAACAGGGAUUAGAUACCCUGGUAGUCCACGCCGUAAACGAUGAGUGCUAAGUGUUAGGGGGGGGUUCCGCCCCCCUUAGUGCUGCAGCUAACGCAUUAAGCACUCCGCCUGGGGAGUACGGCCGCAAGGCUG